This 225-nucleotide unclassified non-coding RNA is filed under the name Basidiomycota sp. RNAcentral describes it as "partial contains small subunit ribosomal RNA, internal transcribed spacer 1, and 5.8S ribosomal RNA". The stretch from base 1 to 47 matches the Rfam family "Eukaryotic small subunit ribosomal RNA", at positions 1785 to 1831 of the family's 1831-position model. Lineage: Eukaryota; Fungi; Basidiomycota. The record is from RNAcentral.
AAAGUCGUAACAAGGUUUCCGUAGGUGAACCUGCGGAAGGAUCAUUACCAAUCCAAAAAAUCAAACCCCAUGUGAACCUGUUUUGUAUGUCUUUGGGGGGCUCCUAAAAGGUUAAUCCCCUUUUUUGCCCCCCAUGUUUACUAAACCACGUUGGUCUUUUCGUUGGAAUAUCUUUUAUUAGCAAAUAAUAAAGGACAACUUUUAACGGUGGAUCUCUUGGCUCGU